RNAcentral lists this ribosomal RNA (969 nucleotides) under Triticum aestivum (bread wheat). Its description in RNAcentral is "partial small subunit ribosomal RNA". Lineage: Eukaryota; Viridiplantae; Streptophyta; Magnoliopsida; Poales; Poaceae. The record is from RNAcentral.
AUGAAGUUCGCCAAGGAGUACAAGAGAUAUAUGCAGGGGAUGAAGGAGGAACUGCCCACUUUGGGGCUGAAGCGUCUGAAACAAAUGAUUAAGAAAUGCAACGCUAUUCCCUAUUGCCCUCAGCUCCCCGGCGACGACACCACCAUGGUCGUCACGGGGCAUAGCCAGUUACGUGAUGAGAGUUUCUUUCCAUCCCUUUCCAAUGAGCUGUCAGCAAUCGUUCGCUGCUUCAAUGAAAGGGUCGAAAAGUUACUUAAAUUGCAUGUAGCAUCCACGGGAUUGAGGAAGUACUUCAUGUGGUUCACAAACAGGUCUCUAAGGACUGAUGAGGCACUAGUACGGCAAGGAAAAGACCUAGUUACCUAUGCUAUUGUAAAUGCUGUAGCCAUGAGGAAAAUCACAAAGAAGUAUGACAAGAAAUGUUGCUCAAAACAAGGGCAGUCUUUCAGAACUGAAGCGCGGAGGCUGCACAUCGAGAUACUUGAAUCCCCGUGGCUGCACGAGCUCAUGGCUUUGUACAUCAACUUGAGGUGGAACAAAACCGUUUCAAUGGACCUCUUAGUGGACCUCUCCCUCACAUUCGGCGAUGAGGAUAAGCCGACACUCUCUUGUAACCUCUUGGAUUCCAUGCGGGUCGACAUCGACUUAACCUGUUCAAUCUGCUUGGACACAGUGUUCGAUGCAGUCUCUCUUUCAUGUGGCCACAUCUUCUGCUACCCGUGUUGCAGCGCUGCAGCCUCUGUGACAGUUGUUGAUGGACUCGAGUCUGCAGAUCCUGGAUCAAAAUGCCCGAUUUGUCGCCGGGCCGGUGUCUUUCCUAACGCUGUGCGGCUGAAUCAGCUCAACAUUCUGCUUAGAAACAGUUACCCGGAGUACUGGGAGAAGAGGAUGCAAACCGAGCGUGUUGAGCGUGUUCGCUUGGCCAAGGAGCAUUGGGAAAGACAAUGCAGAGCGUUCACGAGCAUAUGA